CAGCGAAGAUUCACAGUAUUCGUCGUCUGCCACCGUCAACGUAUUAGGGUUCUAGCUCGUCGAUUUCAAGUUUUCAUAAUCGUCGCGAAAAACAACCCUUUUAGUUAUUGCAAUCUGUUUUCGCGAUAACUGUUUGUCACGAGUUGCAUGAUAAUGAUGUUUAAUUAUAUUGUCAUCAAAAAAUAACGGUGUCAUUCAAUUUUUCUGUUCAGAAAGGUAAACAAUUGUCGUAAACAAUACAUGUGCGAUACUUGUUUCUUAAAUAAUAAUUCCUAAUUAUUUUUUUAAUGUGUUAGGGUGCAAAGUAUAAUAUACAAUAAAUUGUAAACGAUAUAAAUCCGCGGGUUUGUUAUAAACAAUUGGCUGAACAUUACUGUUGCUUGUUCAGGAGUGUACAGUGUUUAUACUUGCAAAUUAAAUUUAUAUUUUAUCAUAUAAUACACAAAACUUUUAAUAUAGAGAAGAGCAUAAGGAUUCAGAUUCACGUGUCAAGCCAGUUAUAAAAAUUAUUCAACACUUGUACUGCUAAGCUAAAGAAGGAAAGAUCUGGAAAGCAGAAGAGUCGUUAGCCUGAGUUGGCCGAGUAACCGAGAAAAAUAAGUAUAAGAAAGCAAAAACGUAGAAAGGAAAGGCUGAAAAUAAAGAGGAAGAGGAAAAGAAGGUAUCACGACGGUGGUGGUGUUGCUCGUAGUGUCUCGUUAUCAGGUGAAGGGUGUCGUGAGGGUUCCAGGCGAAGUAGUUGACAGGUGUGAUGUGGUGGAGUCCCCCGGAGGAUCGCGGGGGCAGGAGGCAUAUCGAAGCAGGUUGGUCGUGAGAGCCCCAGGUUCAACUCGUUUGCCCCGCGGCUGCGAGGCCGGUGGGGCGUCAGAGGAGGAAGAAGAAGGAUGGUGUGACCUCCGGCGUUAUUCCGCUCGACGCGGAGAUAGUGGCGGAGGAGGAGUCGAGCAGCUGCUGCUCGAUUCGGAGGAGGAGGAGCUGGCGAUGUCUAGGCAGCCUCGCGGAGAACGGGAUCACCUGAACCGCGAAUCUCGCGAUCAUCGUGACCUCCGCGAUGUUCGCGACCUUGGAGAUGCGAGGGUGUCACAUGUGGUUAACAGGCAUCGUCAGAGGCACUAUGAGUACGACCCUCAUCCUGCAACAGGACCCUCCGCCUCUUCAGGACCUGUCAACAACCAGGGCUCGGCGGAUUCAAAUUACUCACAGCCGAGUUCCGAUCUUUCAGUGGAUGAAGAAAGAGAAACCUUACGUCGAGAAAAAGAAAAACAGGCCCUCAAUCAACUCGAAAAAGCCAGGACGAAAGCAGUGGCCUUUGCAGUAAGAACGAACGUCAGUUACGAUGGAUCUGUUGACGAUGAUUCUCCAGUCCAUGGAUCAGCUGUCAGCUUCGAUGUUCGGGACUUUCUCCACAUUAAAGAGAAAUAUGAUAACAAUUGGUGGAUCGGAAGGCUAGUUAAAGAGGGUUGCGACGUGGGAUUCAUUCCUUCGCCAGUCAAGUUGGAGGCUUUGAGAGUACAAGCGAGCGCUGCACGCGGUACCAAGGGCCUCUAUUCCACACGUGGAGGGUCUUCGGGGAACCUUGGUGAGAGCGGUAUGCCCUCACGAGGUUCCACACCGCCCACACCAGGUGACGACAGUGAUAGCGUAGGAAAUAUUCGACCGAGUAAAGCAACACUAACAACUCCACCAGCUAAGGAAAAAAGGAAGAACUUUUUUAAGAAGCCGGAAACGGCAACACCAUAUGACGUGGUGCCUUCAAUGAGACCAGUCGUUUUGGUAGGACCAUCACUCAAAGGAUACGAAGUGACUGACAUGAUGCAAAAAGCACUUUUUGAUUUCUUGAAACAUAAGUUUGCGGGAAGAAUCAUUAUAACUAGGGUAAUGGCUGAUAUUUCCUUGGCUAAGAGAUCUUUACUAAAUAAUCCAACAAAAAGAGCAAUUAUGGAACGAUCAUCAAGUAGGAGUAGUUGUUUAGCAGAGGUUCAAGCCGAAAUUGAACGAAUAUUUGAACUCGCUAGAACGCUUCAGCUCGUUGUUCUCGACUGCGAUACCAUCAAUCAUCCGUCACAGUUAGCAAAAACGAGUUUGGCACCUACGAUUGUCUAUUUAAAAAUAUCGUCUCCUAAAGUUCUUCAAAGACUAAUUAAGUCACGCGGCAAAUCACAAUCACGUCACUUAAACGUACAAAUGGUAGCAGCUGAGAAACUUGCACAGUGUCCUGAUGAAAUGUUUGACGUUAUUUUAGAUGAAAAUCAAUUAGAUGAAGCUUGUGACCACGUUGCUGAAUAUCUUGAAGCAUACUGGAGAGCAACACAUCCUCCAGUUGUACAAGCCGUACCUCGAGCUAUACCUGCACCUGAUGCACCUGUAGACGCACUAUCACCUCGCGUUACAUCAGGUGGACAUCAUGAUGUUUAUAUGAUAAGAGACUUGGAGGCGGUGGCUGCCACAGGAAUCAUCCGAAAAGAAGGCAAAGUCACCCUAAGUCGGGAAUCCAAUAAGUCCAAACGAAGAGAAUCAAGUUAAGUUUUCCCUACUGUGGUCAUUUCCUUUGAGAGAGGUGUAUGAACUCUCCUUUUUUUUCUCUUUCUUUCUCCCAUACUCAGCAAUUUUUGCGGAUCAAUUGGUCAUCUGACUUGGUUCUGGUCAUAAGAUUAGCUGAGAAAAUAAAGACAGCUCUAGUGGUCCGUUGGUUACCUCGCGUUGUUCCACUCGUCGAUCACGCCUUGAAAGAUUGGAUCGCGAAACCGAGGAGGAAUAUAGCGUAGAGUACAACAAUCGGCGUCGUCAACAGGAUUGAGAUCAACCAAGGCCCCGGGGCCUUAUUCUAGAACUAAAACUACGAACUACAGCCCUUUAGUUCUAUGAUGGUUUUAAUAAUUUUUGGUACUCAUCUUCGUCAAAGAAGUCAGUACUUUCAUGAUGGACAACCUAAAAACAUAAUCAUUGUUGAUAAAUUAUUUAUAUUUGUUAUAAAUUUCAUAGUAAAACGUGGGGAGUAAAUUUGACUCUUUAAAAUAAAUCAACUAUUCAGAAGAGUAUUUUAAAGAUACUCUCAAAAAGAGACAGGAAGAGAAAAAGAGAUAAAUUAUUUUUGUUGAACCUUCUUUUAAUUCCUUAAAAAAGGAGUAAAAUUUAUUCCCUGUUUUACUACAAUAUAAUAUAUUAAGCAUUUACAUGUAAUGUCUUAAUUCAAAAAUUCAAUUUCUCAAAACAAAGUGAAACUUGAGGAAAUUGUUGAUCUAUAUGGUGGUAAUAUAACCCAAGAAUUUUUUUUUACUUUUUUUUUUGAAUGCUCUUUUCAUUGGUGAAUUCUGUUCUUUAAUGUUUUUGAAAUUAUACCUUCAUUUUUUUGCCUGUCAGAAUGUUUUCAGGCCCACGAAAACAAAAGAUUUUGUUCAUAAAUGAUGUUAUCCGACAAAUAUGUUUUUAUUACGUAUGUAGAUAAAAAACAUUAAAAUAGAGGACGAUGACAAACAAAAUUGACUAAAUUUUUCCCUCUAUUAUCCCCAAAUGUGCCAAAAAAGUCAACAACUUUUUUGGUUUUUAUUAACACCAAACAGGACAACAAUUUUCCUAAAGUUUCACUUUGUUUCGAGAAAUUGAAUUUUUGAGUUGAGACAUUACACGUAAACGCUUCAUAUAUUUAUAUAUAUAUAUAUAUAUAUACAUAUUGUCACUAAAAAAUUCCUGAAUUAAAACUUCCAAUACGUGUAUUGGAAUUACAAUACAUAAUUAGUGAUAGUUUAGUAAAAUUGCCUUACCUACAUUAAUAUAAUUUAAUUAAUUUUCAUUUUACUAUAAAUAUAUUGUAAAUUUCGUACAUUUAAAUUACAAGUAUUGUAACGUCUCUCUACAAUACUAAUUGUAAGUAUUGUAGCUUUAAAAUUUCCAAUAUUUUUAGCAAAUGAAUAUGUUUAUAUACCAAUGUUAAAUUGGAACAAAAAAUCAUAACUCUAAGAACCACUUUCACCAGCUUUAAUUAUACUUUAAUUACUUAAUCUCCGAUUAACUCUCUAAAGCAAAAUUCUUUUUAAUUCAAGAAGAACUUUAAAAACGCUUUUGUAAGACUUACAUAUUUAUAAAAUUCUCUUAUUCAGAUUUUAAUCUAAUAUUGUGUAUUCAGUUUCAUAUAACUUUUUUAAAAUUAAAAUUCCUUAAGAAAAUUUCGCUUUUCAGGACAUUUGUUGAACAAACUAAAAAGUAUUCUUGAUUAAGUCACUUUAUCUUAGAUUAAGAUGUUUCUGAAUCCUUUUGAGCAAUAUACAUCAAGAUUCAAAAGUGUCAUAUUUAUCAACUGCAAUGUACUUAUAAAUCGUAUUAAGGAAGAAAAUCAAAAGUUAGUCCGAUUCCAUUUUCUUAUUUUUAAGUCAUAAAGUAAUUAGAUUAGUAAACAAUUUCAUUUUUCCUUUAUUUACCAAAAAUGUAUCUCUUUUUUUUUGUUAAAUAACUAAGACAUUAUUUCUAAAAUACUUGUAUUAGCAUCUUUACAUACACACAUACAGUAUUGAGUUAGCUAAAUUUUUUCUCUGUGUAUUUUAUAAUUUACAUAAAGCAUUUACUAAAAUUUCGUAUAACUUUUCUCUCAGCGUAAUAUUGAUUCAUUCAAGUUUUGAAAUGUUACCGUUGUACAUACGCAAUAUAUGAAACGUUGCCUUAAUAUUGCAAGGUAAUAUUUUCAAAGUUGUGUGUCAAUCUUGCAGCAAAAUACAUAUAUGUUUUAGAGAGAAAUUAUGUGUUAAGUAUAGUUGGUGAAAUUGGGCCUAAAAAUUUUUUUAUAUAGAAGAAAAACAAAAAGAAUUUGAAAUAAUUUCUAGUUAUCUAUUAUUAUUUUCAACUAAAAAGCCUGCACAUUAAUUAUUUAUCCACUUAGAACAUUUUUUUACGCGAAACAUGCAUGAGUAUUGGGUGCAAUGUUUCUCAGCUAAUAUUAAAAAUAUCAAUAUCAGUGCAAUAUUUCCAUUUUUAUGCGAACCUAGCACCACAAUAAUCAGUCAAUUUUUAUGGAAAAAUUUGUGCUAAGUAGAUAAAAUGUAAAAAUUUAUAUAUGUAUAUGUAUAUAAACUUAAUUGCAAAAAUUCCCCUAACUCCCAGCGACAAAUAUUCUACUGCGAUUCCAAAAGUGCGUAUAUAUGCUAAUGAAUCGGUAAAUUUAACUGAAUUUUUUACUGCUUCAUUACUGAAUAAACAUACUUAUUAGAAUUAGUGGUAACUUACUUAUUUAUUGUUGAUUCAGAUUUAGAGAGUGUAUUAUGACUUCCAUGUUGAAGAAUGUAAUUGUUGUUGAUUUACAGAGACAAUCAAAAAAACAUUUUAAAAAACCAGAGCUGAUUUCAGAUCUUGUUUAAUGUUUUUUCGAUUUUCUCUGUGGCACAACAUAUACUUAUAAAGAAGUCAUAUAUGACGUUGACCUUUUACUGUAUAUCUAUUAACAUUCUAAAUUUUAAAUCAGUGAAAUUUCACUAUUAUGAAUUUAGAAUGGAUUUUUUGGAAUAAUACUUUAUAAGUGAGAGGCGAGCCAGAAAAAUCGGUUCUUCGAUCAGCCUUUCAUCAUCAGUACCUAAUAGGUAUAUACUCCUGUGAUUUAUAAAAACAGUGUUAACUGCACAAAAAUAAAAAAGGAGUGUUUUAUAGUGUUUUAAAAAUUAACAAUAAAAUUAGAAAUAAUUUUUGUAUAAUUUGAAAAUUACCUUUAAUUACAAGAUAUAUUUAUGAAAAGUUUAAACAAAUACAAUAUUGAUAUAUUGAAAAAUAAAUAUUUGAAUACAUUUUUUUGUGCAGUUGACGCUGGUUUGUAAAGUUGUGGGUUGAUUAUAUGCAUCAAGCGAUCAAUUGAAAAAUUUCAAAUGAUUGCAAAAUAUUUCUCAAAUAAUCUUUUAAAAGUGGAAGCAACAAAAUAUCAUGCAGUCCCUGGGGUCUUAAUAGAGACUACUUGUACAGGAGUGCAAAUGUAUGAAUGUAUGUGUGUGCGUACCUUCCUGAUUCGCCAAAUAAAAUAUCAUCGAGUUGUUUUAUAUAAAAUAUCGUGUAGAUGAAAUAAUAAAUUAAAUUAACUGAAAUAAAACACUUAAUUCAAUUAUAA
This is an RNA transcript of Leptopilina boulardi, 6079 nucleotides long. It is a transcript of the gene named voltage-dependent L-type calcium channel subunit beta-2, with no coding region annotated. The transcript is spliced from 12 exons. The record is from RefSeq and is a predicted model, not a curated record. NCBI's taxonomy places the organism in Eukaryota, Metazoa, Arthropoda, Insecta, Hymenoptera, Figitidae.